Molecule: ribosomal RNA, 255 nt
Filed under: uncultured bacterium
Lineage: Bacteria
Description: partial 16S ribosomal RNA
Rfam family: Bacterial small subunit ribosomal RNA
Source: RNAcentral
AACGUAGGACGCAAGCGUUAUCCGGAGUUACUGGGCGUAAAGCGCGGGCAGGCGGUCUGGCCAGUCUGAUGUGAAAUCUCCUCGCUCAACGGGGAGCAGCCAUUGGAAACUACCAGACUGGAGUCUGACAGAGGUAGGCGGAAUUCCGGGUGGAGUGGUGAAAUGCGUAGAGAUCCGGAGGAACACCAGAGGCGAAGGGCGGGUCGUCUGGACAGUUCCUGACACUGAGGCACGAAGGCCAGGGGAGCAAACGGG